GUAGGUCCCGAGCGUUAUCCGGAUUUAUUGGGCGUAAAGCGAGCGCAGGCGGUUAGAUAAGUCUGAAGUUAAAGGCUGUGGCUUAACCAUAGUACGCUUUGGAAACUGUUUAACUUGAGUGCAGAAGGGGAGAGUGGAAUUCCAUGUGUAGCGGUGAAAUGCGUAGAUAUAUGGAGGAACACCGGUGGCGAAAGCGGCUCUCUGGUCUGUAACUGACGCUGAGGCUCGAAAGCGUGGGGAGCAAACAGGAUUAGAUACCCUGGUAGUCCACGCCGUAAACGAUGAGUGCUAGGUGUUGGGUCCUUUCCGGGACUCAGUGCCGCAGCUAACGCAUUAAGCACUCCGCCUGGGGAGUACGACCGCAAGGUUG
This 370-nucleotide ribosomal RNA is filed under the name uncultured Streptococcus sp. RNAcentral's name for it is "bacterial SSU rRNA". It matches the Rfam family "Bacterial small subunit ribosomal RNA", at positions 527 to 896 of the family's 1533-position model. Lineage: Bacteria; Bacillati; Bacillota; Bacilli; Lactobacillales; Streptococcaceae. The record is from RNAcentral.